This 6154-nucleotide long non-coding RNA is filed under the name Sus scrofa (pig). RNAcentral's name for it is "lncRNA (ENSSSCG00050035269.1)". Lineage: Eukaryota; Metazoa; Chordata; Mammalia; Artiodactyla; Suidae. The record is from RNAcentral.
AGAGCUUCCUUGCCUGCCUGCUUGCAUCUCUUACAAGCAUCCUAUCCUGAUAAAUCUGCUUCUCGCCUGUCACUUUGUCUCUGGCAGACCUCCUGCGCAGAGGCAUGACGAACCUGAACCUUAGUGAGUCCAGACUCAGGGUGAGUAACUCGAAUUUAAAACCGUGGGUUCACGUCCCCAUCUGGCUUUAGGCUGGGUUCGAGUAGGUUGGGUUUGAGUCCCGGCAUGUGGGUUUAAGUCCAGUCUGUGUUCUGCCUGGGUUCAGGCCAUGAGCCUCGUCAGUUCCAGUCUCACGCUUCUCCAUCCACGGCCCCCGCCCCAAACCCUGCGUCAGGAGAGGUUCUGAGGCUGUGCUCGCGAGCAUCCAGUGAGAGAACUGGGCCCAUCAGCCAUGUCUGCCACAGGCACAGCGCGGCCGUGGGGGGAAACAGGUGAAUGGAGUUGACGUGGCGGUUGCAAGGCUCUAGAACGAGGAAUCUGGAAGGCUGAGACCAGAAACUGCCUUCAUCUCUCCUAAUCUGGGUUCUUUCCAAGACAUUAAGUGGAUUCCAGAGGGAGAUGGACACAGAGAGGGAAAGACAUCUGGGGUUUGCGUCCUUUGCUGGUUCGACGACUGUCACGGUUGCCCGGCCUGCGCAUAGGGCUGCGUGGGGAAGAAAGCGCCGUUGCCCCGCCUGUUCCCGGCGCCUCGCCCUCAACACUGCCAACCACUUCCCAGAGGCCAAGUGCCUGGCGUGGAUCUUUGAACAGUGCCACACCCACACCCCCCAGGCUUCACUCCUUAGAGUGGUUCCUCCAUUCCCAGAAGCACUUAACUGGCCGGAGUGCCCAGAGAAGGUGCCCAGAGCAGUACUUAGAGGCUGUCCCUGGGGGCAGGGCUUGGCCCCGAGGCAUCCAGCCAAAGUCCUGCCUCUCAAGGAGAACAACAGAACUGACUGUUUGCUUGCAUCCAGGGGAGCCGAGCAUUUGCAGAACUGUGGUUUCCGCUCAUCGUUUGUACCUUAGAAGGCACAUGUGGUUAAAACUGCCUGAGAUUGGUGCUGGCAUUUUGUGGUAGAAAGUUUGCCAAUUUGGGAAGUUAAGCUUUGACUUGGUUCUCAUGGACAUGUGAGCAUCCCACACACCCACAUGCCACAAACCCACCCGCCUACCCACCCACCCACCUACCCCCCAUCCAGCCCCCCUCCCACCUACCCCCAUCCACGCACAGACACCCCUCAGGUGGCGCCGCGCCCUCAGGAAGCACCAUGAACACCGCCACACGUGGCCCCUCAAGCUUCUAAUCUAAGCUGAGGUUCCAGGCAGGGGCACACAGACCCUGGGGGCUGCAUCUGUGACCAGGAGGAGACAUUGGCAGGAAGGAGACAUUCUCGUCUCUCUGAGUGUUUACAGGUGAUGCCCAGCACAUCUUUGCUCCAGGAGCACAGGGCGGGCGCGAGCAAUUCAGCCAGAGCAGCAACACGUGGGGCUGAGAGCUUCUGUGGUCUCGGCUGGGAGGCUGCAGCACGAGAGGUGCUGGAGACGAGCGAGGAGGGCUCCUUGGAGCAGGUGAGGACACGGGGCGUGGAGGGUGAGCCUGUCAGACGGAGUUGGUGAAGAACAGUCUGCAGGCAGAGCCAGUGCAAGCAGGGGCAGGGCGGUGAGAGCGCAGAGCCACGGCCAGGCUGCGCAGCCGGGAGCCACUGGUGACUGCGUGUGGGGCCGGGAGCAGGAGGCGGGCGGGCAGUGGCACCAUUGGUGAGGCUUGGCUCUUGAUGCUGGUGGGCCAGGCAGCCUGAACUCCACCCUGGCGGGUGAGGGGGGCUGCUGACGAGGCCCAGGACUCAUCUGUGUGUGAAGCUCUGUGGGGACCAGUGAAGCUGGCACUGCUGGGGGCGGGGAUCCAAGCCAAGUAUAAUGUCAGGUGUCUACCAUUGAUUCUUGCUGUGGAACAAGACAGCCCACGUCUCUGUGGCCUCAAACAAGAGUGAAUUACUGCUUCUUGUGCCUGUGGGUUGGCCGCUUCGAAGAACUCUGAGCUGGACAGGCCAAGACAGCCCUGCACACACGCCGGCAGGUGGAGCUGGCUGGCUGAGGCCUCAGGGCCCCCCAAGAGCUGGACCAGCGUCCUCCCAUGGUGCACUCGGGGUAAGGCGGAGGCCGCCGAGCCUCCCAGAGUCCAGGCUCCACACCGCCCGACGUCACUCCUGCUACAUCCUCUUGGCUGAAGAAAGUCAAGGGACCCGCCUGGCCUUGACGGUGGGCGCCGCUCACGUCCUCACGGGAGCUUCCAUGAAUCCUUUGUGGGCACAGUCCGUCCGCAGGCAUCCCGUGCCCGGGACGCUGUCUGCUGCGUGCUCACAGGUGUGGCUGAAUCCCUGGCUGUAGGGGCUUCGGGGGAAGGGGAGGGGUGCACACCCGCAGAGGCAGAGACGCGUGGAGGGGCCGGGAUGGGUCGAGGGAGCCUGGAGGGGCUCUGGGUGGGGGGGCAGCUGACAGAGGUGGGACUGGGAGACAGAGGAGGCCCGGGCUUUGUUUUUCUUCUGUCUUUUGUCUUUUGAGGGCCGCCCCCACGGCAUAUGGAGGUUCCCAGGCUAGGGGUCUAAUCAGAGCUGUAGCCGCCAGCCUACGCCACAGCCACAGCCACAGCAACGCAGGGUCCAAGCCAAGUCUGCAACCUACACCACAGCUCAUGGCAACGCAAGAUCCUUAACCCGCUGAGCAAGGUCAGGGAUCAAACCCAUAACCUCCUGGUUCCUAGUCAGAUUCGUUAACCACUGAGUCAUGAUGGGAACUCCCAGGCAGGUAUUUUAGACCUGCUCUCACCUGCAUUCCACCCUCUGUACCUGGAGAGCCUCAACCCUGAGACCUAACUGGCCUCUCUUGCAGCUAGCUGACCUCUCAGAGAUUGGGCAGGGCCUGGCAACAGGCUGCAUCAUGAGAUGUGACUGUCUCCAGCACGAGGUUUCAGGCACCAGGUCUGCACCCCGUCCCACCAUCCAGAGCUCGGCCCAGCCCACCAAAGGGAGAGGAAGUGUGGGGAACAUGACCCUCCUGUGGGCUGGGCGGACCAGGCCCUGGCUUAAUCGAGACAGCGCCACCUUUACCACCAAGACCUGGGGGUUUCUUUCUCCUUUCCUAGGAGAGACCAGAGGAGUGACUGGGCUGACGGGGAGGGGUCGAAGAGAGGAGGGAGAGGGGAGCUGUGCCAUUUGGGACCCAGAAGUGGCCAUCAGGGAGGGAGGGAGAGCCAUGCCCAGGAAGAGACACCUCACUUCCCCUGAAGAGUCCCUAGGACAGCCAGCCCCGUGGUUCCACCCACUGCAGCCAGGCACGUGGUGCAGGGGGCCCUGGCGAGGACUGGACUUUCUUAGAGCAAUGAGGGGGCCCAGGAGCAUUUUGAGAGGAGAGCAGCGAGAUUCGAUUUCAGAGGCUCCCGUGGGGGAGGAGAGACGGCAGGGGGGCACAUGAACAAGCAUGGCCCAUCUGGGCCUUUCCCUGGGCACACGGCGCCAAGAGGCCUCACCCUUCUAGAGGCUUCCGAUGCUCUGGGCCGCUGAGGGAGGCUGCAGGCCGACAGAUCCAGUGGAAAAAGGCAGCUUCGGAGCCGCAGGCAGAAUGGCCAUAACCCUGUGGAGGCAGUCGCUGAAGCGUGGGGCACAUCGCGUGUUCCUCCAGCUGAAAGCCAGGCCACAGGCCUCCGUGGUCCCCCCGUCAGCUGUCAGAAGGCUGCCCAGGCCCUGGUUAACGGCGUGGGGCAGGAUCCGGGUCUCCAGUUCUCCAGGUCAUCUGUGCCAAGGCUCCCUCGGCCCACCCUCCCACAGCUCCAGGUAGACCUCACUGUCCUGCCCGCCCCAGCCUGCCUGCAGGCCUUCCUCCCACCACCAUUCAGGGGCGCGCGGAAGGAGGAGGUUCCGCUAGACAAGGGAGCCCAUCCCGGAGGCGGGUCUGAAGCAGCAUCACUACCGGCUCUGGACGUCACGCCACCUGCGCAGCAACUUCAGGCAGGGUGCGAAGACUGCUCCUGCGCAGGCGCAGUGCCUCCAAGUGCAUGGGACCUGAUGCUCAUUGGGCCUAACAAGUGUCAAUCACCUCAGGUGGGGGGGGCGGAGCCUAUGCCAACCGGAAGUGGGCUGGCGGCCAUUGGCUGACAGGCCAACCUCCCGAAGUGCGGCAGCUGGUGAGGCCUCCGGCCGGAGCCAGGGUGGGACCUGGUGAGACGGGCCCCCUGGCCUGGUUCCUCAGCCGCCCCCUCCCCUUACCCUGACUCCUUCCUCCGCACGUUGCUUAGUGCGGAGGGGCCUCGGGAGCGAGCGUGGGUCCAGAACCUGGGCCAGCGCCAGGGCCGCCGGGCUUCACCCUCCUGACGAGGACGUCCCGGUGGUGCCCGGGCAAGGCGGCGGGCCCUAGGGCCACCAGGCGGCGACAGCUGAAGACAGGAGGCGGAGUAGGGGAGUCGGGGAACCAGCGCUGAGCACGCCCCUCCAGGAGCCCCGCAGAGGCCGCGUGGGGCCGCCAGGGGCCUGCAGCCCCCGUUCGCCAAGGACAGGCCCCAGCAGGACCCUUCUGUCACCAGCGAGCGGAGGUGGCGUGGCGGUGUCCGCCCCAGUGCUGCCCCCGGCCCGCUCCGGAACCUUCCGAGGCUGCCGCGGGGCCUCGUCUAGACUGAGGUCUCCCUGCCGAGGCCGCGUGGCGAGGGUGAGACGGCAGGACCAGCCCGGAGGCUUCCGCGAGGACGAGCUGCGGCUUCGCCGGCCCUCCGGGUGGACACCGCCGGCUGCGCACGCGGCGUCCUUGCCCCGCUUGCGUGACCCGGUCGCGGGUAGACCCCUGCGAACAUUCUCUGGCGCUCCAGGGAGGUUCCCCCGGAAGAUGGCCCACCUUCCUCUCUGCCAGUGACCCGCACGGGGUGCGACGCCCGGAACCGCCGAGCCCUCUCGGGCAGCCUGUGCCCGGAGCUGUGGGAGGCCUCGGUUCGGAGGACGCUGGCAGACACGAGAGCCCCGACCCGAGCCGGAGGGCUUUCUCGGCCACCGCGCAGCCGGAGCUGCAGGGACCCCCUUGCCGCCUCCCCCUUCCCGGCACGCGGUCCAGGUAGGUGCUGCGCAUGCGCCGCGUCGGCGGCACGGGGAGCCCCGGGAACCUGGAUCUUUUCCAUGGGCUGCAGGCAAAUGUGCCCGAUCUUACCCCCAAGGACAGCCCACCUUGCCCUACGCCUGGCGGCGCGGGCGGGGGGUGCGGGCACUGUCCCUGUCAAGCCUCUUGCUAAACAAGUGGCCUUGCACAGGUGGCCUGGAGCAAAGCUGUCCGUGGCUGUGCUUGUGAGAUGUGCACUGGUGUGUGUGCGCUCGGGGUGGGGAGUGUGAGGUGCGCCGCUGCUGACAGCGCAAGACUGCAGCAUCAGGUCACAGCGGCCCCGGUGCUUUGUGGACUUAGGUUUGGGAGGAGACGUUUCCUUGCUGCCGCCUGAGCACGGGGGGACCGCCCUCUCCCCGCUCCCCCGAACGCUCCUCUGACCUGCUGUUGACGGUGUAUCCUGGGCCGUAGUUGAAAUCCCGCUCGCCGGCUAAGGGGUGGGGGCGCCCAGUGGCGUUUUGCUGGCGAAGGUCUUUAGAAAUCGGCGGACUGUGUGGGGAGGCGGUCGCAUCGUCUCCAUUUUUUCCUCUUUCUCCUGGUCUGAGGUUGGGUCCCAGAUUCAGGUCCUGGGUGCUUUGUUCCAACCGCCGGAAGAAGGGCUUGUUUCAAGGGAGGGGCCCACUUCACCGGCCCCCAGCUUCCCUUGGUAAACCUGUCAGCCAAGGGCUGGCCGUGGAGGCAGAACUAGGGGUCUCCGCCGGUGCCAGAGGCUGAAUGUGUCUCCCCACAUUCAUAUGCUGAGACAACCCCAAUGUGAUACCGUGAGGAGGGGGCCUCUGGGAGGUGCCGAGGUCAUGGGGGAAGAAGGCCUCAUAAAAGGGACCCCACAGUGGAGUUCCCUUCGUGGCUCAGUGGUUAAUGAACCCGACUAGGAUCCAUGAGGACACAGGUUCCAUCCCUGGCCUCGCUCCAUGGGUUAGGAUCCAGCGUGGCUAUGGCUGUGGUGUAGGCUGGCAGUGACAGCUUGGAUUAAACCCCUCCUGGGAACCUCUAUAUGCCUCGGGUGCAGCCCCAAAAGCAAAAAAGAAAAAAAAAAAAA